Molecule: RNase P RNA, 400 nt
Filed under: Rhizobium sp. Root708
Lineage: Bacteria; Pseudomonadati; Pseudomonadota; Alphaproteobacteria; Hyphomicrobiales; Rhizobiaceae
Description: bacterial RNase P
Rfam family: Bacterial RNase P class A
About the family: Ribonuclease P (RNase P) is a ubiquitous endoribonuclease, found in archaea, bacteria and eukarya as well as chloroplasts and mitochondria. Its best characterised activity is the generation of mature 5'-ends of tRNAs by cleaving the 5'-leader elements of precursor-tRNAs.
Source: RNAcentral
UCAGUUGGCCGGGCAGCCGCGCUUUACCAAUGCCGAAAGGCGGUAGGGUGAGGAAAGUCCGGGCUCCAUGGAAACACGGUGCCGGAUAACGUCCGGCGAGGGUGACCUCAGGGAAAGUGCCACAGAAAGCAAACCGCCGACGCCUUGGCGUCGGUAAGGGUGAAAGGGUGGGGUAAGAGCCCACCGCAUUUCCGGUAACGGCGAUGGCAAGGUAAACCCCACCGGGAGCAAGACCGAAUAGGGAUGACGCGGUAAGCGAAAGUUUGCCGGCCGGUUUCUAGGCCAGUCAUCCGGGUGGGUUGCGUGAGGCGGCGUGUAAACGUCGUCCCAGAGGAAUGGCUGCCACGUUCCGGUUUCGGCCGGAGCCAUACAGAACCCGGCUUACAGGCCAACUGGCGAU